AUGACUUUGGCGGGGUGGUUAACACGUUGCCCUGCUAUCUAACAGUAGCUGCUAGGCAAUUCCUUUGGAAGCACAGAUUCGAAUCCUGUAGGUAAUG
Lasiosphaeria hispida is the source of this 97-nucleotide non-coding RNA. The record is from the annotation of a GenBank genome assembly. Lineage: Eukaryota; Fungi; Ascomycota; Sordariomycetes; Sordariales; Lasiosphaeriaceae.